UUGAACGCUGGCGGCAUGCCUUACACAUGCAAGUCGAACGGCAGCACGGGUGCUUGCACCUGGUGGCGAGUGGCGAACGGGUGAGUAAUACAUCGGAACAUGUCCUGUAGUGGGGGAUAGCCCGGCGAAAGCCGGAUUAAUACCGCAUACGAUCUACGGAUGAAAGCGGGGGACCUUCGGGCCUCGCGCUAUAGGGUUGGCCGAUGGCUGAUUAGCUAGUUGGUGGGGUAAAGGCCUACCAAGGCGACGAUCAGUAGCUGGUCUGAGAGGACGACCAGCCACACUGGGACUGAGACACGGCCCAGACUCCUACGGGAGGCAGCAGUGGGGAAUUUUGGACAAUGGGCGAAAGCCUGAUCCAGCAAUGCCGCGUGUGUGAAGAAGGCCUUCGGGUUGUAAAGCACUUUUGUCCGGAAAGAAAUCCUUGGCUCUAAUACAGUCGGGGGAUGACGGUACCGGAAGAAUAAGCACCGGCUAACUACGUGCCAGCAGCCGCGGUAAUACGUAGGGUGCGAGCGUUAAUCGGAAUUACUGGGCGUAAAGCGUGCGCAGGCGGUUUGCUAAGACCGAUGUGAAAUCCCCGGGCUCAACCUGGGAACUGCAUUGGUGACUGGCAGGCUAGAGUAUGGCAGAGGGGGGUAGAAUUCCACGUGUAGCAGUGAAAUGCGUAGAGAUGUGGAGGAAUACCGAUGGCGAAGGCAGCCCCCUGGGCCAAUACUGACGCUCAUGCACGAAAGCGUGGGGGAGCAAACAGGAUUAGAUACCCUGGUAGUCCACGCCCUAAACGAUGUCAACUAGUUGUUGGGGAUUCAUUUCCUUAGUAACGUAGCUAACGCGUGAAGUUGACCGCCUGGGGAGUACGGUCGCAAGAUUAAAACUCAAAGGAAUUGACGGGGACCCGCACAAGCGGUGGAUGAUGUGGAUUAAUUCGAUGCAACGCGAAAAACCUUACCUACCCUUGACAUGGUCGGAAUCCCGCUGAGAGGUGGGAGUGCUCGAAAGAGAACCGGCGCACAGGUGCUGCAUGGCUGUCGUCAGCUCGUGUCGUGAGAUGUUGGGUUAAGUCCCGCAACGAGCGCAACCCUUGUCCUUAGUUGCUACGCAAGAGCACUCUAAGGAGACUGCCGGUGACAAACCGGAGGAAGGUGGGGAUGACGUCAAGUCCUCAUGGCCCUUAUGGGUAGGGCUUCACACGUCAUACAAUGGUCGGAACAGAGGGUUGCCAACCCGCGAGGGGGAGCUAAUCCCAGAAAACCGAUCGUAGUCCGGAUUGCACUCUGCAACUCGAGUGCAUGAAGCUGGAAUCGCUAGUAAUCGCGGAUCAGCAUGCCGCGGUGAAUACGUUCCCGGGUCUUGUACACACCGCCC
This 1368-nucleotide ribosomal RNA is filed under the name uncultured beta proteobacterium. Its description in RNAcentral is "bacterial SSU rRNA". It matches the Rfam family "Bacterial small subunit ribosomal RNA", at positions 29 to 1395 of the family's 1533-position model. Lineage: Bacteria; Pseudomonadati; Pseudomonadota; Betaproteobacteria. The record is from RNAcentral.